This 1128-nucleotide ribosomal RNA is filed under the name Salmonella enterica. RNAcentral describes it as "partial 23S ribosomal RNA". It matches the Rfam family "Bacterial large subunit ribosomal RNA", at positions 114 to 1282 of the family's 2925-position model. Lineage: Bacteria; Pseudomonadati; Pseudomonadota; Gammaproteobacteria; Enterobacterales; Enterobacteriaceae. The record is from RNAcentral.
CCGAAUGGGGAAACCCAGUGUGAUUCGUCACACUAUCAUUAACUGAAUCCAUAGGUUAAUGAGGCGAACCGGGGGAACUGAAACAUCUAAGUACCCCGAGGAAAAGAAAUCAACCGAGAUUCCCCCAGUAGCGGCGAGCGAACGGGGAGGAGCCCAGAGCCUGAAUCAGCAUGUGUGUUAGUGGAAGCGUCUGGAAAGGCGCGCGAUACAGGGUGACAGCCCCGUACACAAAAGCGCAUGUGCUGUGAGCUCGAUGAGUAGGGCGGGACACGUGGUAUCCUGUCUGAAUAUGGGGGGACCAUCCUCCAAGGCUAAAUACUCCUGACUGACCGAUAGUGAACCAGUACCGUGAGGGAAAGGCGAAAAGAACCCCGGCGAGGGGAGUGAAAAAGAACCUGAAACCGUGUACGUACAAGCAGUGGGAGCACCCUUUGGGGUGUGACUGCGUACCUUUUGUAUAAUGGGUCAGCGACUUAUAUUCUGUAGCAAGGUUAACCGAAUAGGGGAGCCGGAGGGAAACCGAGUCUUAACCGGGCGUUAAGUUGCAGGGUAUAGACCCGAAACCCGGUGAUCUAGCCAUGGGCAGGUUGAAGGUUGGGUAACACUAACUGGAGGACCGAACCGACUAAUGUUGAAAAAUUAGCGGAUGACCUGUGGCUGGGGGUGAAAGGCCAAUCAAACCGGGAGAUAGCUGGUUCUCCCCGAAAGCUAUUUAGGUAGCGCCUCGUGAAUUCAUCUCCGGGGGUAGAGCACUGUUUCGGCUAGGGGGCCAUCCCGGCUUACCAACCCGAUGCAAACUGCGAAUACCGGAGAAUGUUAUCACGGGAGACACACGGCGGGUGCUAACGUCCGUCGUGAAGAGGGAAACAACCCAGACCGCCAGCUAAGGUCCCAAAGUCAUGGUUAAGUGGGAAACGAUGUGGGAAGGCCCAGACAGCCAGGAUGUUGGCUUAGAAGCAGCCAUCAUUUAAAGAAAGCGUAAUAGCUCACUGGUCGAGUCGGCCUGCGCGGAAGAUGUAACGGGGCUAAACCAUGCACCGAAGCUGCGGCAGCGACACUGAGGUGUUGUUGGGUAGGGGAGCGUUCUGUAAGCCUGUGAAGGUGUGUCGUGAGGCAUGCUGGAGGUAU